AUUGAACGCUAGCGGGAUGCCUUACACAUGCAAGUCGAACGGAGUGGCGAACGGGUGAGUAAUGUAUCGGAACGUGCCCAGUAGCGGGGGAUAACUACGCGAAAGCGUAGCUAAUACCGCAUACUAUUAGACGGGCCGCUAGCGGAUUAGCAAGUUGGUGGGGUAAGGGCCCACAAAGGCGACGAUCCGUAGCUGGUUUGAGAGGACGACCAGCCACACGGGGACUGAGACACGGCCCAGACUCCUACGGGAGGCAGCAGUGGGGAAUUUUGGACAAUGGGGGAAACCCUGAUCCAGCCAUCCCGCGUGUGCGAUGAAGGCCUUCGGAUUGUAAAGCACUUUUGGCAGGAAAGCGGUACCUGCAGAAUAAGCACCGGCUAACUACGUGCCAGCAGCCGCGGUAAUAC
Molecule: ribosomal RNA, 407 nt
Filed under: uncultured bacterium
Lineage: Bacteria
Description: partial 16S ribosomal RNA
Rfam family: Bacterial small subunit ribosomal RNA
Source: RNAcentral